AGUGAACGCUGGCGGUAGGCCUAACACAUGCAAGUCGAACGGCAGCACAGUAAGAGCUUGCUCUUACGGGUGGCGAGUGGCGGACGGGUGAGGAAUACAUCGGAAUCUACUUUUUCGUGGGGGAUAACGUAGGGAAACUUACGCUAAUACCGCAUACGACCUACGGGUGAAAGCAGGGGAUCUUCGGACCUUGCGCGAUUGAAUGAGCCGAUGUCGGAUUAGCUAGUUGGCGGGGUAAAGGCCCACCAAGGCGACGAUCCGUAGCUGGUCUGAGAGGAUGAUCAGCCACACUGGAACUGGGACACGGUCCAGAAUCCUACGGGAGGCAGCAGUGGGGAAUAUUGGACAAUUGGCGCAAGCCUGAUCCAGCCAUACCGCGUGGGUGAAGAAGGCCUUCGGGUUGUAAAGCCCUUUUGUUGGGAAAGAAAAGCAGCAGGUUAAUACCCCGCUGUUCUGACGGUACCCAAAGAAUAAGCACCGGCUAACUUCGUG
This 492-nucleotide ribosomal RNA is filed under the name uncultured bacterium. RNAcentral's name for it is "partial 16S ribosomal RNA". It matches the Rfam family "Bacterial small subunit ribosomal RNA", at positions 29 to 507 of the family's 1533-position model. The record is from RNAcentral.